RNAcentral lists this unclassified non-coding RNA (385 nucleotides) under soil metagenome. RNAcentral's name for it is "partial contains 5.8S ribosomal RNA, internal transcribed spacer 2, and large subunit ribosomal RNA". The stretch from base 1 to 120 matches the Rfam family "5.8S ribosomal RNA", at positions 35 to 154 of the family's 154-position model. The record is from RNAcentral.
GAUGAAGAACGCAGCGAAAUGCGAUACGUAGUGUGAAUUGCAGAAUUCCGUGAACCAUCGAAUCUUUGAACGCAUAUUGCGCUCGAGGCCUCGGCCGAGAGCAUGUCUGCCUCAGCAUCGGUUUCACCCUCGCCAUGAGUUCCCCUGUUGCAGGCGGAUCUCACUGGCGGAGUUGACCGUCCUGCUGCCGUCUGGUGCAGCGGGUCGGUUGAAGCACAGCGGCUCCAGCAAACACCCACUCGGGCGCUGGCUAGGUAGGUAGCUUCGGCUGCAUGCCGCCAGACUGCCCCGGAUUUGCAUGGGAGCCUUCCUUUGAAACUUUCACUUUCGACCUGAGUUCAGGCAAGAGCACCCGCUGAACUUAAGCAUAUCAAUAAGCGGAGGA